GAUGAAGAACGUAGCAAAAUGCGAUACUUGGUGUGAAUUGCAGAAUCCCGUGAACCAUCGAGUUUUUGAACGCAAGUUGCGCCCGAAGCCUUUUGGCCGAGGGCACGUCUGCCUGGGCGUCACGCAUCGCGUCGCCCCCAACAAAUUCUCCGUCAGGGGAGCUUGUGUUUCGGGGGCGGAUACUGGUCUCCCGUGCUCAUGGCGCGGUUGGCCGAAAUAGGAGUCCCUUCGAUGGACGCACGAACUAGUGGUGGUCGUAAAAACCCUCGUCUUUUGUUUCGUGCCGUUAGUCGCGAGGGAAGCUCUUCAAAAACCCCAGCGCGUCGUCUCUUGACGGCGCUUCGACCGCGACCCCAGGUCAGGCGGGACUACCCGCUGAGUUUAAGCAUAUCAAUAAGCGGAGGA
Molecule: unclassified non-coding RNA, 405 nt
Filed under: soil metagenome
Description: partial contains 5.8S ribosomal RNA, internal transcribed spacer 2, and large subunit ribosomal RNA
Rfam family: 5.8S ribosomal RNA (bases 1-122)
Source: RNAcentral